RNAcentral lists this ribosomal RNA (253 nucleotides) under uncultured bacterium. Its description in RNAcentral is "partial 16S ribosomal RNA". It matches the Rfam family "Bacterial small subunit ribosomal RNA", at positions 524 to 776 of the family's 1533-position model. The record is from RNAcentral.
UACGUAGGGGGCUAGCGUUGUCCGGAAUCAUUGGGCGUAAAGCGCGUGUAGGCGGUUCGGUAAGUCCGCUGUGAAAGUCGGGGGCUCAACCCUCGGAUGCCGGUGGAUACUGUCGGGCUUGAGUACGGAAGAGGCGAGUGGAAUUCCUGGUGUAGCGGUGAAAUGCGCAGGUAUCAGGAGGAACACCAAUUGCGAAGGCAGCUCGCUGGGACGUUACUGACGCUGAGACGCGAAAGCGUGGGGAGCAAACAGG